RNAcentral lists this ribosomal RNA (497 nucleotides) under uncultured bacterium. RNAcentral describes it as "partial 16S ribosomal RNA". It matches the Rfam family "Bacterial small subunit ribosomal RNA", at positions 28 to 507 of the family's 1533-position model. The record is from RNAcentral.
GAUGAACGCUGGCGGCGUGCCUAAUACAUGCAUGUCGAGCGAACGGACGAGAAGCUUGCUUCUCUGAUGUUAGCGGCGGACGGGUGAGUAACACGUGGAUAACCUACCUAUAAGACUGGGAUAACUUCGGGAAACCGGAGCUAAUACCGGAUAAUAUUUUGAACCGCAUGGUUCAAAAGUAAAAGACGGUCUUGCUGUCACUUAUAGAUGGAUCCGCGCUGCAUUAGCUAGUUGGUAAGGUAACGGCUUACCAAGGCAACGAUGCAUAGCCGACCUGAGAGGGUGAUCGGCCACACUGGAACUGAGACACGGUCCAGACUCCUACGGGAGGCAGCAGUAGGGAAUCUUCCGCAAUGGGCGAAAGCCUGACGGAGCAACGCCGCGUGAGUGAUGAAGGUCUUCGGAUCGUAAAACUCUGUUAUUAGGGAAGAACAUAUGUGUAAGUAACUGUGCACAUCUUGACGGUACCUAAUCAGAAAGCCACGGCUAACUACGUG